GAUGAACGCUGGCGGCGUGCUUAACACAUGCAAGUCGAACGGAGUUCCUUGGAUAGAGGUUUCGGCCAUUGAAUUGGAACUUAGUGGCGGACUGGUGAGUAACGCGUGAGGAACCUGCCUUUCAGAGGGGGACGAACAGUUGGAACGACUGCUAAUACCGCAUGAUACAUUCGGAUCGCAUGGUCUGAAUGUCAAAGAUUUAUCGCUGAAGAUGGCCUCGCGUCUGAUUAGCUAGUUGGUGAGAUAACAGCCCACCAAGGCAACGAUCGGUAGCCGACCUGAGAGGGUGAUCGGCCACAUUGGAACUGAGACACGGUCCAGACUCCUACGGGAGGCAGCAGUGGGGAAUAUUGGGCAAUGGGCGAAAGCCUGACCCAGCAACGCCGCGUGAGGGAAGAAGGGUUUCGGCUCGUAAACCUCUGUCCUAUGGGACGAAGAAGUGACGGUACCGAUAGGAGGAAGCCCCGGCUAACUACGUGCCAGCAGCCGC
RNAcentral lists this ribosomal RNA (490 nucleotides) under uncultured bacterium. Its description in RNAcentral is "bacterial SSU rRNA". It matches the Rfam family "Bacterial small subunit ribosomal RNA", at positions 28 to 518 of the family's 1533-position model. The record is from RNAcentral.